RNAcentral lists this ribosomal RNA (865 nucleotides) under uncultured eukaryote. RNAcentral's name for it is "SSU rRNA". It matches the Rfam family "Eukaryotic small subunit ribosomal RNA", at positions 47 to 933 of the family's 1831-position model. The record is from RNAcentral.
AGCCAUGCAUGUCUAAGUAUAAGUAUUAUACAGCGAAACUGCGAAUGGCUCAUUAAAACAGUUAUAGUUUAUUCGAUUAUUUUCUCCUACAUGGAUAACCGUAGUAAUUCUAGAGCUAAUACAUGCUGUCAAACCUGACUUUGUGGAAGGGUUGUAUUUAUUAGAUAUAAAACCAAUACUCUUCGGAGUUUUGUGAUGAUUCAUAAUAACUGAGCGGAUCGCGGCCUCGCCGCGACGAAUCGUUCAAGUUUCUGCCCUAUCAGCUUUCGAUGGUAGUGUAUUGGACUACCAUGGCGAUCACGGGUAACGGGGAAUUAGGGUUCGAUUCCGGAGAGGGAGCCUGAGAAAUGGCUACCACAUCUAAGGAAGGCAGCAGACGCGUAAAUUACCCAAUCCUAAUUCAGGGAGGUAGUGACAAGAAAUAACAACUCGGACCUCACACGAGGUUACGAGAUUGCAAUGAGAACAAUUUAAACCUCUUAUCGAGUAACAAUUGGAGGGCAAGUCUGGUGCCAGCAGCCGCGGUAAUUCCAGCUCCAAUAGCGUAUAUUAAAGUUGUUGCAGUUAAAAAGCUCGUAGUUGAAUAUCUGGCCGGCGCUGUACUGGCUCUCGUAGUCGGUUCAGUGCCUGGUUAUCCGUAUGGGAAACUAACUCGGCCUUCACUGGUCGGCUAGUGGAUCAUACACUUUACUUUGAAAAAAUUAGAGUGUUUCAGGCAGGCAAUUGCUUGGAUACUUUAGCAUGGAAUAAUGGAAUAGGACUUUGACCUAUUUGUUGGUUUCUCGAGGUCAAAGUAAUGAUUAAUAGGGAUGGUUGGGGGCAUUCGUAUUUAAUUGUCAGAGGUGAAAUUCUUGGAUUUUUUAAG